Molecule: small RNA, 75 nt
Filed under: Gelidibacter algens
Lineage: Bacteria; Pseudomonadati; Bacteroidota; Flavobacteriia; Flavobacteriales; Flavobacteriaceae
Description: Flavo-1 RNA
Rfam family: Flavo-1 RNA
Source: RNAcentral
UUGUUGCGUUAAGGAUUGCAGCGGCAUCCUUUUUUGUUUUUCACAAAAAAGAUAUAGCGGAAAGCCUGACCCUUU